Long non-coding RNA from Physella acuta, 1720 nucleotides. RefSeq lists it as uncharacterized. The record is from RefSeq and is a predicted model, not a curated record. NCBI's taxonomy places the organism in Eukaryota, Metazoa, Mollusca, Gastropoda, Physidae.
CAGCACGGAAUGCCUCUUUGACGAUGAGAAUAUGUCGCUACUCAAUGAAGUUAGCAGCGUCAGUUCAGUGUCUACAUAUGAGUUUUGCAUGAAAGAAAAGAUCCAGGUACAGGAAUGUUUUCUCUUCAAAACUAAAGUGCGGAAAUUUACCAGACGCAUACAAGAAUUUUUUUACAAUAUUAAGGUAAAAAGGCAAUGGAAAAAGUUUACCUGAAGAGAAAUUCUGCGCAGUUUGAAAGAGACGCGAGAAACAAACACGUAUCUGGGAAGCCUAGAUGUCAUCCAUUUUAUUUUGUGAAUUAACUUCUUGUAAUAUGAUUUUGUUAGGUUGAAACUUUAUCUUGUAUGAAAUAGAUCAUAGAAGGUGUCGAAAAACAACACACAAUUAUUUUUUAGACCCAAUGUGUUCUGAAUGAGUUCAUGUUUGUUAAAAAACUAUGUGUAGAAUUGCUCAAAUCUACUACUUCAUGACGUCGAAUACCAAAAUAUGUAUUUUCAUUUACGACUUAAUGUUUAAAAUGUAACAUAUGAUGUAUCCUAUAGAUAGAAGUUUUGUUGUUUAUAUGUAGAAAAUAUACCAACCUACCCUCACAAACUGAUGUUCAUUAGAUUUGAAAAUAAUUAAGUUCUUGCGUUGAUGAUAAAACUUUUCAAGAUAAACUUUUCUUACUGGUGCAUUUUGUAUUCACAUUUUUACAGUUGCCAUCCUCAACAUUUGUAUAUAAAAUAUUCGUUUAUUUAUGUCAUUUAAUUUCUCCGUAUAUUCAAUCAGAAAACAUUUUAAUGACAUAUUGGAACUCUUUUAUUAUUAAAAGAAUCUUCAUCAACAUUUCUACUCUUCAGAAAAUUCCAUCCUGUUUGUUAGCUUUAUAUUGUAUCAAUGUCAUUGCUACAUUAUAUGUUCCGUUUAUUUAGAUUAGCUUUAUAUACUAAUCCCCACAACUUAACUUAAAGAUGCAUGGACAUUUAUUAAUUUCAAAAGUAAACGUUGACAUUGCCAGGUGAUUGAACUACUUAGUGCCUUCAUAAUGUGGUUACUGCCCUGUUUACAAUGGUGUGAUUUCUAUUCCACCGAAGUGUAAUUCAAUUCUUUGAUCUUUUUUACUUAUUGUUACUGUACUACUAUCUUCAAUUUUGAAUGUAGUAGCAUUGUGAAUUUUGUGCCUUAUUGAUAUUGUACACUAUAUGUUUAAAAAUCUAACCUUAGAAUGACAUCGAUUUUUACAUUGUGAUUAGUAGAGCUAUGUCUGAUGGAUUAGCUAACUUGAUAUCUAGUAGUGUUUCAUAUUUUAUGAAUCAAUCAAUACCAUUUCAACCAUCUUGUUGAUGAGCUUUAAUAGUCACUUUCUAGAGAUUAUAUUGUGGUUUACAUUUGACCUGACCUGACCUUACCACCACCUCACCCCCUCAUUAACAAACACAUACACGUUUUUCUCAAAACUCAGUACCAAUUAUCGUAGACAGCAUUUGUGCGAAAAUGGGAGCAGUUUCUUGAAAUAUGUUGAUAAUAUGUUGAUAAUAUGUUGAUAAUAUGUUGAUAAUCUGUAUAUAUGUAAUUAUUCAGUUUAAGUUUGUACAGCUUCUGCAGAUAAUUAAUUAAAGAUUUUAAAAUGGCAUGUCUGUAUCAAAACACUAAGUAUUAAACUUCAAACAUUUUUUCCCUUCUUAACUUCAGACGUAAAUCAUAAUUCCAGAACAUGUUUAUGUAUCUAGAUAACUG